GAAACACAGAAUCAACUUAUAACAUGAUAUAACACAAGUCCAUGUCAGCACACUUGCUAUACUAAGUUACAGUCUGGUGAAAAGAGCUAGCAAGCCCUAGCACCUGCUAAGUGGAGGACAUGAACCUUAUAUGAGCAAGGAAGACUGAGUCUCCACCAACCCUUAGUACAACGUGAAGCGCUUUAUAACCUGCCACAACAGUUUGGAUCUCAUAGAGCUGACCACUGUUUUCUGCCUGUUGUCAUGCACCUGCUGUACGUAUCAGAAUAACACAGGUUUCUUCUUCCCUGUCCUGAAACCAUAAACACUCAUCUUGCAAUUAUCUGUCAGGAUGGAUGGUUGCAGCUUAUUGCAAACCCACAUAUUAUAAGUUUUCUUUCCUAUUCCUACCAUGAUCAGAGUGAUCAUGAAAACAUUUCUUCUUUUUUUUUUUUUUUCCCCACUCCUCUGACUUUUCACACGGGAGCAACGAUCAUUGUGAGUCACUGAAUCUGACCUGAUGAAGCGUCAAACUUCAAGAACUAUAUGAAAUUCUCCAUUGCUAAUAAGCAAAUUGCUACAUAACAAAAGGAACUGCCAUGGCAGUAAUCUCAUUCAUUGUCAAGAGAACAGUGGGUAUUAGCAUUUUUAAGAUUGUAGUCCUACAAAGCCUCAGGACCAACCCCUGGGUGACCCAACACUGGAUGCAAAGAAGGAAAAUCAAAGGUGGAGACUGACAAACCCUGAGGAUUUAAGACUUGCAGAAUGAGAUUGAAUUUAACCUUCAGAAGCACUUCCUUACAUGAGAUAAUAAAUCUCUUUUUGAGGCGCUCAGAUACAGUGCUGUGAUACGAACAUCACAAAGAAGCCUGCACUUCACAGGGAUGAACUUCAGCUAAUCAGUUCUCUCCAAACUUCUGCUGCAGAAACAAUGGUUUAAAAUGGGACCUUUCCCACCUUGAAGUGGAUUUGAAGCAAGCCUAAGAACUCCUCAGCUUUUUGAGCUUACAGUUACGUCUGCAAAGUGCAAAAAGCUCAAAGCUUUUUAAUUGAAAACUUACAAACUGCUUGGAGACUUGGCUGUGAGCUGUCACAUAAGCAGUCAGCUGUGAAAAAAGAACAUCACUGAAGAUGGAAGAAUUGACUCAGGACCUCAAUAAGAAGCAAGAUCAUUUUCAGAGAGCUUUUUCAACCCUGUUCUGAUCAAGUUGUUA
This is a non-coding RNA of Meleagris gallopavo (turkey), 1193 nucleotides long. The record is from RefSeq and is a predicted model, not a curated record. Lineage: Eukaryota; Metazoa; Chordata; Aves; Galliformes; Phasianidae.